UACGGAGGGUGCAAGCGUUAUCCGGAUUCACUGGGUUUAAAGGGUGCGUAGGUGGGCAGGUAAGUCAGUGGUGAAAUCUCCGGGCUUAACCCGGAAACUGCCAUUGAUACUAUCAGUCUUGAAUACCGUGGAGGUAAGCGGAAUAUGUCAUGUAGCGGUGAAAUGCUUAGAUAUGACAUAGAACACCAAUUGCGAAGGCAGCUUACUACGCGAAUAUUGACACUGAGGCACGAAAGCGUGGGGAUCAAACAGG
Molecule: ribosomal RNA, 253 nt
Filed under: uncultured bacterium
Lineage: Bacteria
Description: partial 16S ribosomal RNA
Rfam family: Bacterial small subunit ribosomal RNA
Source: RNAcentral